GAUGAACGCUGGCGGCGUACCUAAUACAUGCAAGUCGAGCGAACAGACGAGGAGCUUGCUCCUCUGACGUUAGCGGCGGACGGGUGAGUAACACGUGGAUAACCUACCUAUAAGACUGGGAUAACUUCGGGAAACCGGAGCUAAUACCGGAUAAUAUAUUGAACCGCAUGGUUCAAUAGUGAAAGACGGUUUUGGUGUCACUUAUAGAUGGAUCCGCGCCGCAUUAGCUAGUUGGUAAGGUAACGGCUUACCAAGGCGACGAUGCGUAGCCGACCUGAGAGGGGGAUCGGCCACACUGGAACUGAGACACGGUCCAGACUCCUACGGGAGGCAGCAGUAGGGAAUCUUCCGCAAUGGGCGAAAGCCUGACGGAGCAACGCCGCGUGAGUGAUGAAGGUCUUCGGAUCGUAAAACUCUGUUAUUAGGGAAGAACAAAUGUGUAAGUAACUAUGCACGUCUUGACGGUACCUAAUCAGAAAGCCACGGCUAACUACGUG
RNAcentral lists this ribosomal RNA (497 nucleotides) under uncultured bacterium. RNAcentral describes it as "partial 16S ribosomal RNA". It matches the Rfam family "Bacterial small subunit ribosomal RNA", at positions 28 to 507 of the family's 1533-position model. The record is from RNAcentral.